Molecule: long non-coding RNA, 325 nt
Organism: Lepus europaeus (European hare)
Lineage: Eukaryota; Metazoa; Chordata; Mammalia; Lagomorpha; Leporidae
Exons: 3
Source: RefSeq, a predicted model, not a curated record
CUACUGCCCACUUUUCUGGCGAUCAUAGGUUUGAUUCCCUACGUACUGCGCCGAAAAUCUUUCCCUUUACAAGGUUUAUUGGGAAGUGACCAUGUUGUAAGUCGAGGAGCAUCUACACCAUCAUACCUUCUAAUCUGCAGGGGAGUGGUUCAAGGAUCCCCAGAAGAUACCAACACCUGAACAGAACAACCAGGGAUCACGUGACAGAGAUGGCUGUGUAGUUUCUUGCAGUGCUCUCAUGUGGGACCCAAAGAACACAUAAAAUGACCAAGAGACGGAGGCACUGAUGCUUAACCUAUUUACCCUUGCCAUUUUUCUAGUGUAU